Ictidomys tridecemlineatus (thirteen-lined ground squirrel) is the source of this 132-nucleotide small nucleolar RNA. Its record names the gene SNORA75. It matches the Rfam family "Small nucleolar RNA SNORA75". Rfam says of the family: U23 belongs to the H/ACA class of snoRNAs. snoRNAs bind a number of proteins (including dyskerin, Gar1p and Nop10p in the case of the H/ACA class) to form snoRNP complexes. The record is from Ensembl. Lineage: Eukaryota; Metazoa; Chordata; Mammalia; Rodentia; Sciuridae.
AUCUUUUCCAUGAGUUCUUUUUGUCAGUUGGCGGCAGUAUGUGGAUUCAUAUGAUAAGUGAUAAUUCACAGAAUUAGCAUUAUUUUACCUUCUGUCUUUAUAGAGGUAUAUUUGGUGUUUUAUGAGACGUUC